RNAcentral lists this ribosomal RNA (381 nucleotides) under uncultured eukaryote. Its description in RNAcentral is "SSU rRNA". It matches the Rfam family "Eukaryotic small subunit ribosomal RNA", at positions 587 to 972 of the family's 1831-position model. The record is from RNAcentral.
AGCUCUGUAAGCGUAUACCAAAGUUGUUGCAGUUAAAACGCUCGUAGUCGGAUUUUGGCGUUGGUGCUUCCGAGACCCCUGCAUGGGCGUCGAGGGUGAGUCCCGCCUUUGUGGAUGGGGGCGUGGUGGCUCUUUGUUGGGUCGCUGCGCGUCCGCCACUGUUUACUGUGAAAAAAUUAGAGUGUUCAAAGCGAGCGAUUUGCCAUGAAUACAUUAGCAUGGAAUAAUAGAAUAGGACCUGGUCCUGUUUUGUUGGUUUGUCGGUAUCAGGUAAUGAUUAAGAGGGACGGUCGGGGGCAUUUGUAUUCCAGGGUUAGAGGUGAAAUUCUUGGAUCCUUGGAAGACAAACAGCUGCGAAAGCGUCUGCCAAGGACGUUUUCA